Molecule: long non-coding RNA, 1235 nt
Organism: Cervus elaphus (red deer)
Lineage: Eukaryota; Metazoa; Chordata; Mammalia; Artiodactyla; Cervidae
Exons: 3
Source: RefSeq, a predicted model, not a curated record
CCCUAUUUUUGUAGGUUUCCAUGGUACUUUGCAGCUGUCAGUCUAAGGCUGCCUUCAAUUAGCACACAUGCAAUGUUAAGGUGAGUAGCAGAGAUGCUACUGAUCCGUGGAAAGAAAAACAUUAUUAAUAUGUGGCAUUCUAGAAAUAAUUAUGCUGUGAUAUUUUUCUUCUACUCACUGAAGACUAUUAAUAGUACAUUUAAAGACGUAUCAUGCCUACACAAUUUGUGUCAAUCAAAUCCCUGAUCUUUAACAUAUAUAUUUUAGCUGAAAUGGAAAAAAAUAAAUGAAAACAGACUUAAUUUUGUUUCCUUUCCCCUACCAUCUAACCUGAGGCUGAUGGUUUACCAUGGGUCAGACCCACUGCAAACCAAGUCUAGGAUUCUUCAAGAAGCAGCAGCCUUCCUGCCCCUCAUCUCUUUGCUGCUGACUCUACCAUGAUGCCACCUCCACACCAGACAAAUCUGAGGAGCCUCAAAUAGCAAGAGUGAGACUGAGCCAGUGGGUGCUGAUAACGUGCGUUUAUCUGCCCAAAUGGAAUCUACACUCGUCCAUGAGACUUCUGACCUUUUCCCUUAUCGAAAAGUUCCAGCCUCUGUGCUUGUCCUGGAGUGUACGUCAUGUUGAACAGCAAGAGUAACUACGAGCUGGUCAGAGACCUUUACGGUCUGGUCAAGAGACUGCUAAAAGGGCUCUGUGGCUUGAGGACAACGGCCUCAUCACACAAAUGCUUGGUAGAGAGAAUGAGACUAAAGCCACCUUUGAGGAGGCAGCUGUGUUUGUUGGGCUGGUCACCACCCCCGUGGGGCGUGUCACGUUGGUGAGGCGGCCCUCGUGGUCAUAGCUGGAGAAGAGAGACACUGAUGAGCAGCAGUUCCUGGGGCCGAAGACUUCCUCAAAACUCAGAACCCCACCAGGGAUAGACUCAUGGGGCUAGAAAAGGAGAGAGGGGGAAGGUGGGGUGGCCAGGUGGCGCAGCAUGCCCCCCUGCCCUGGGAAAUGCUGAUGCUUUCUACUACCCACCCAUUUAUCUAACAACAUACUCAGUGAAAGCAUUUCACCUCAGGCAAGGGGUACUUAAUUACGCUUUCCCAAGUCAGUGAGAAGAGCUACCUGAUGCUCUUUAAUUUGGGUUCUACAAAGUAAAGGACUAACUAAUAAUGAACAAGAAAAUCUGAAUAGGAGACUGACUCAUGAAUCAAAACCCUCCCACCAAACAGAAGUCCACGAUCACU